CCCUUAGAUGUUCUGGGCCGCACGCGCGCUACAAUGAUGAAUUCAACGAGUUUAUAACCUUGGUUGAAAAGCCUGGGUAAUCUUUUGAACUUUCGUCGUGAUGGGGCUAGACCCUUGCAAUUAUUGGUCUCCAACGAGGAAUUCCUAGUAAACGCAAGUCAUCAGCUUGCAUUGAUUACGUCCCUGCCCUUUGUACACACCGCCCGUCGCACCUACCGAUUGAAUGGUCCGGUGAAAUCUUCGGAUUGAGACGUUGAUUUCUUCACGGAAAACGCUGUUUUAAAAAGUUGAUUAAACCUUACCAUUUAGAGGAAGGUGAAGUCGUAACA
This 329-nucleotide ribosomal RNA is filed under the name uncultured eukaryote. RNAcentral's name for it is "partial 18S ribosomal RNA". It matches the Rfam family "Eukaryotic small subunit ribosomal RNA", at positions 1470 to 1796 of the family's 1831-position model. The record is from RNAcentral.